This is a long non-coding RNA of Tarenaya hassleriana, 1050 nucleotides long. RefSeq lists it as uncharacterized. The record is from RefSeq and is a predicted model, not a curated record. The transcript has 3 exons. NCBI's taxonomy places the organism in Eukaryota, Viridiplantae, Streptophyta, Magnoliopsida, Brassicales, Cleomaceae.
UAUGCAAAUAUAGAGGAGUCCCCUUUGAUAAUUUUCCAAAAACCCAACGGUACAGUGACUGAACCCUUUUUCAAAUCCCUUUUCUUUCUCGGUUCAUCACAAGAUUCACCAGAUAUGGCGAAGAUUUCGGUUCUGGGUUUCUGUCUUUUCGUGUUUUCGUGGCUUCUUUGCCACUGUUACUGUCUUCAAGACUUUGUUUUGGCGAAUAAUGGCAGCUUCUUCACAGUUUCACAGUUUCAAGCUUCAGGUACCCUAAAUCAGAGUUGAUUUGCCUCCAUUGUUAAUGAAUGUACCAUUGGAAUCUGAUGUAGACAUCAGACAUGAUUACAACACAAGUACGUGAGCUUAGUUUGAGUUACUCGCUUAUUACAGAACAUGGGCCGUCAAAAGAAUGGCUCAGUAAUCUAUCAAAACGCUCAAGAAACUGUUCCGUUGGGGAUUUGUUGCGGCCGGUCUUUUAUCACACUAACCAUGGCAGCCAAUUUAAAGUGGACACCAGUUCAAGCUACUGGAUUUGGCACACAGGUAUGUGUGUGUAUAUACACAUAUUACACACAACACUGUUGAUGUACAGAUACGUGUAUAUCAAGUUAUCUCUUUCUGAAGAUUGGCAUAUGGAAAUAUCAUGCAGCAUCUGGCAUGUCGCCAUCUACACUUCUUCCUUCUUCUUCCUCUGUUCAAAGAUUACAACUGCAAAUAGCGAGGACCAAGAACACAGAGCUGAAAAUUAUCAGUUAGCUAGGCAGGACUCUUUACCGAAAAAUGAAUAAAAAGUAUACGAAUGGAGAAUCUUACCAGCGAUAAUGAGGAAACGGAUUCUUGAAGCUGCCCUGUUGUACAAUAUCUUGUCAAACGGUAUUAUUACAUCGAAGCAGUUCGGAGGAACAAGACAUGGUAACACAUAAAUCCAAGCUGUUUUCUCCAUCUGGAUCUCGCCGGAAACCUGUCUGCAAAUCUUAUGAGCGGCUUUCAUCCAAUGGCCUUCAGACAUGUAGAUGUUCGAUAACAUGGAGUAGUUAGCCGGGUUGGAAGGCUCCAAUUCGACAAGUU